This 310-nucleotide long non-coding RNA is filed under the name Parus major (Great Tit). RNAcentral's name for it is "lncRNA (ENSPMJG00000001824.1)". Lineage: Eukaryota; Metazoa; Chordata; Aves; Passeriformes; Paridae. The record is from RNAcentral.
UAAGAAAGCUGAUGUGACUUUACUAACCAUGCUGGAUGUAUGAGGAAUUCUUCUCAAAGCAUGAAGAACUACCAAGAAAACCCUUAAAUAUUCAGAAUAAAGGAAGAAUGUGACAGCAUAAGCCAAGAUAUUCUGAUGAUCUAUUGGAAAAUCCAAGAGGGGAUCAUACUGCUGUCAUCCAAACAACCCUACAGGGAUCAGGAAGAAGCUUAAAAUUCCUAGGAACUCUGAGUUUACAGGAGUAGAGAAACACAACCAGAAUUUAGGUAUUCAUAUGUGCAUGUUUUCACUAGGUUGAAAUUAAGAUUGC